AGAGUUUGAUCUGGCUCAGGACGAACGCUGGCGGCGUGCUCAUACAUGCAAGUCGAACGGGGUCCAUCCGGUGGCAACACCGAGGAAGACCUAGUGGCGAACGGGUGCGUAACACGUGAGCAACUGCCCCGAAGACCGGGAUAACAGCGGGAAACCGCUGCUAAUACCGGAUACCCUCGCGAUCUCUCAUGAGGAUGUGAGGAAAUGGGUUUCCGCUUCGGGAGGGGCUCGCGGCCUAUCAGCUUGUUGGCGGGGUAACGGCCCACCAAGGCGACGACGGGUAGCUGGUCUGAGAGGACGAUCAGCCACACUGGGACUGAGACACGGCCCAGACUCCUACGGGAGGCAGCAGUAGGGAAUCUUGCGCAAUGGGCGAAAGCCUGACGCAGCAACGCCGCGUGGGGGAUGAAGGCCUUCGGGUUGUAAACUCCUUUCAGUGGGAACGAAAAUGACGGUACCCACAGAAGAAGCCCCGGCCAACUACGUGCCAGCAGCCGCGGUGAUACGUAGGGGGCGAGCGUUGUCCGGAUUCAUUGGGCGUAAAGAGCUCGUAGGCGGCUUGGCAAGUCGAGUGUGAAACCUCCAGGCUCAACCUGGAGACGCCACUCGAUACUGCUAUGGCUAGAGUCCGGUAGGGGACCAUGGAAUUCCUGGUGUAGCGGUGAAAUGCGCAGAUAUCAGGAGGAACACCAGUGGCGAAGGCGGUGGUCUGGGCCGGUACUGACGCUGAGGAGCGAAAGCGUGGGGAGCGAACAGGAUUAGAUACCCUGGUAGUCG
RNAcentral lists this ribosomal RNA (777 nucleotides) under uncultured bacterium. RNAcentral's name for it is "bacterial SSU rRNA". It matches the Rfam family "Bacterial small subunit ribosomal RNA", at positions 8 to 796 of the family's 1533-position model. The record is from RNAcentral.